CGGAUAUCGCUCCUACGCUGGAAUGCCGGGAGCGUGAAAAGCUCCGGCGCCACAGGAUGCGGCUGCGGCCGAUUAGGUAGACGGUGGGGUAACGGCCCACCGUGCCGAUAAUCGGUACGGGUUGUGAGAGCAAGAGCCCGGAGACGGACUCUGAGACAAGAGUCCGGGCCCUACGGGGCGCAGCAGGCGCGAAACCUUUACCCUGCACGACAGUGCGAUAGGGGGACACCGAGUGCGAGGGCAUAGAGCCCUCGCUUUUGUGUAUCGUAAGGAGGUACACGAAUAAGGGCUGGGCAAGACCGGUGCCAGCCGCCGCGGUAACACCGGCAGCCCAAGUGAUGGCCGCUAUUAUUGGGCCUAAAGCGUCCGUAGCCGGCCGGGCAGGUCCGUCGGGAAAUCCACUGGCUCAACCAGUGGGCGUCCGGCGGAAACCGCUCGGCUUGGGACCGGAAGACCAGAGGGGUACGUCUGGGGUAGGAGUGAAAUCCCGUAAUCCUGGACGGACCACCGGUGGCGAAAGCGCCUCUGGAGAACGGAUCCGACGGUGAGGGACGAAAGCUAGGGUCUCGAACCGGAUUAGAUACCCGGGUAGUCCUAGCCGUAAACGAUGAUCGCUAGGUGUGGCGCAGG
This 630-nucleotide ribosomal RNA is filed under the name uncultured archaeon. RNAcentral's name for it is "bacterial SSU rRNA". It matches the Rfam family "Archaeal small subunit ribosomal RNA", at positions 153 to 782 of the family's 1478-position model. The record is from RNAcentral.